CAUUACCAAGAUUCAGGGUCUGCAUUCCUCUUGCUGUGGUGAGAGAGAAUUUUGAUGAGGUACAAGGAGGUAUUUUGUGUCUUUGUAUUCUUACUGUCAAAGCAGAGGGCACAAGUGACCGACAGCAAUUUGAAGUUAACUCAGACAAAAACGCUUAGAGGAAUUCCCCGGGAAUGGAGUCCUGAAACUAGGGGCCAUCACCAAAAACACCAAAACGAACCACAGAGAAGAUGCAAAUGUAGCAGGUCAGUUGGGGACUGUGGUGAACUGAGUGAGGGUGGCCCAAUUUCAGUGGAUAGAACCAUCAUUCACCCCCAGCCAAGUCUUUGUAUGCAGGAAUGUGGCCUGGUGUUUAUGAAUUUUCCAAAUUUUUAGGGAAACCAGACAAAUUUUAUUUUUUAAUUAAUUAAUUUAUUAAUGACAGAGUCUUGC
This is a long non-coding RNA of Pan troglodytes (chimpanzee), 432 nucleotides long. RefSeq lists it as uncharacterized. The record is from RefSeq and is a predicted model, not a curated record. NCBI's taxonomy places the organism in Eukaryota, Metazoa, Chordata, Mammalia, Primates, Hominidae. The transcript has 3 exons.